UUUUUCCCUUUCCACCUAUGGCCCCUUGAUUCUCCAGGAGCUGCUCUGGCUAAAGACUCUAAAGAUAAUCAGGAGCUGACAUAUAAUUUUACUAUUCCUUACAUGGUCUAUCUUCAGUCCUUCCCAGAACCCUGCGUGGGGUCUCUCAUUCACCUUGACUGGGUAUUGACAGCUGCCCACUGCCCCUUACCGUAAGUAUCCCUUUCUCUUGCGAGCUGGGAGGAAUCUGUUCAAACAAAUGUAGAUCUGGUGGAAAUUCGACUGGGAGUUUCUCAACCUAGCAUCACAAACAAGAAACAACAGAUAUGAAACUAUUCAUCGAUUGUGACCUACCCUGACUUUGAUGCAAAAUCCUUGAACAAUGACCUAAUGAUGAUCAAACUAUCAACACCUGCUUCACUCAACCCCCAUGUGGGGACUAUAGCCAUAGCCUUGGAACCCAUUCCAUUUAAUGAAUCCUGCUUUAUUCCAACCUGGACCUGGAAUGAAUAUAAAAACUUUCCCACAGUCAGUGAUCCUGACAUCCUGACAUGGAUCAACCAAUAUUCUCUUCCAUUCCGUGACUGUCAGGAUAGACUCAAAGAAGAACAGGCAGGAAACAUCAUUUGUGUAGGACACCCUCUAAGGAUCCUAUCUAAAAACAAGUCUCUCUAUAAGGAUGUUUCGGCUGCCCCAGCCAUCUGCAAUGGGAGGUUGCAUGGAAUCUUGUCCUGGGCAGAAGGAAGUGUCACCCUAGGAAGUGAAGGAUUCUUCACAGGUGUUCAUAGCUAUGCAAGAUGGAUCUUGAAAAUUAUGGAUACCCAC
This 804-nucleotide long non-coding RNA is filed under the name Homo sapiens (human). Its description in RNAcentral is "non-protein coding lnc-PRSS58-2:3". The record is from RNAcentral. Lineage: Eukaryota; Metazoa; Chordata; Mammalia; Primates; Hominidae.